Molecule: ribosomal RNA, 488 nt
Filed under: Babesia vogeli
Lineage: Eukaryota; Apicomplexa; Aconoidasida; Piroplasmida; Babesiidae
Description: SSU rRNA
Rfam family: Eukaryotic small subunit ribosomal RNA
Source: RNAcentral
GUCUUGUAAUUGGAAUGAUGGUGACCCAAACCCUCACCAGAGUAGCAAUUGGAGGGCAAGUCUGGUGCCAGCAGCCGCGGUAAUUCCAGCUCCAAUAGCGUAUAUUAAACUUGUUGCAGUUAAAAAGCUCGUAGUUGUAUUUUAGCGUUGGCGAUUUUGCCAUUAGUUUGGCUUGAUUGUUUUCGCUUUUGGGUAAUCCCUUUUUACUUUGAGAAAAUUAGAGUGUUUCAAGCAGACUUUUGUCUUGAAUACUUCAGCAUGGAAUAAUAGAGUAGGACUUUGGUUCUAUUUUGUUGGUUAUUGAACCUUAGUAAUGGUUAAUAGGAACGGUUGGGGGCAUUCGUAUUUAACUGUCAGAGGUGAAAUUCUUAGAUUUGUUAAAGACGAACUACUGCGAAAGCAUUUGCCAAGGACGUUUCCAUUAAUCAAGAACGAAAGUUAGGGGAUCGAAGACGAUCAGAUACCGUCGUAGUCCUAACCAUAAACUA